This 76-nucleotide transfer RNA is filed under the name Thermoplasmata archaeon. RNAcentral's name for it is "tRNA-Asp". It matches the Rfam family "tRNA". From Rfam's summary of the family: Transfer RNA (tRNA) molecules are approximately 80 nucleotides in length. RNAcentral also lists the same sequence under 1 other name. Lineage: Archaea; Methanobacteriati; Thermoplasmatota; Thermoplasmata. The record is from RNAcentral.
GCCCCGGUGGUGUAGCGGCCUAUCAUCCGGGCCUGUCGAGCCCGGGACCCGAGUUCAAAUCUCGGCCGGGGCGCCA